GACGAACGCUGGCGGCGCGCUUAACACAUGCAAGUCGAACGGAAAGGCCCUGCUUUUGUGGGGUGCUCGAGUGGCGAACGGGGGAGUAACACGUGAGUAACCUGCCCUUCACUGUGGGAUAACUUCAGAAAACUUGGGCUAAUACCGGGUAGGAGCUCCUGCUGCAUGGUGGGGGUUGGAAAGUUUCGGCGGUUGGGGAUGGAAUCGCGGCUUAUCAGCUUGUUGGGGGGGUAGUGGCUGACCAAGGCUUUGCCAGGUAGAGGGCCUGAGAGGGUGAGCGGCCACACUGGGACUGAGCUACGGCACAGACUAGUAUGGGAGGCAGGAGAGGAGAAGAUUGCACAAUGGGCUGAAGCAUGAUGCAGCAACGCCGCGUGCGGGAUGAGGUGCUGCGGGUUGUAAACCGCUUUCGCUUGUGACGAAGCGUGAGUGACGGUAAUGGGUAAAGAAGCACCGGCUAACUACGUG
This 468-nucleotide ribosomal RNA is filed under the name uncultured bacterium. RNAcentral describes it as "partial 16S ribosomal RNA". It matches the Rfam family "Bacterial small subunit ribosomal RNA", at positions 28 to 507 of the family's 1533-position model. The record is from RNAcentral.